This 497-nucleotide ribosomal RNA is filed under the name uncultured bacterium. RNAcentral's name for it is "partial 16S ribosomal RNA". It matches the Rfam family "Bacterial small subunit ribosomal RNA", at positions 28 to 507 of the family's 1533-position model. The record is from RNAcentral.
GAUGAACGCUGGCGGCGUGCCUAAUACAUGCAAGUCGAGCGAACGGACGAGAAGCUUGCUUCUCUGAUGUUAGCGGCGGACGGGUGAGUAACACGUGGAUAACCUACCUAUAAGACUGGGAUAACUUCGGGAAACCGGAGCUAAUACCGGAUGAUAUUUUGAACCGCAUGGUUCAAAAGUGAAAGACGGUCUUGCUGUCACUUAUAGAUGGAUCCGCGCUGCAUUAGCUAGUUGGUAAGGUAACGGCUUACCAAGGCAACGAUGCAUAGCCGACCUGAGAGGGUCAUCGGCCACACUGCAACUGAGACACGGUCCCGACUCCUACGGGAGGCAGCAGUAGGGAAUCUUCCGCAAUGGGCGAAAGCCUGACGGAGCAACGCCGCGUGAGUGAUGAAGGUCUUCGGAUCGUAAAACUCUGUUAUUAGGGAAGAACAAAUGUGUAAGUAACUGUGCACAUCUUGACGGUACCUAAUCAGAAAGCCCCGGCUAACUACGUG